AAAACCAUCAGGCGGUCCACGAGGUCGCAAU
Molecule: small RNA, 31 nt
Filed under: Bombyx mori (domestic silkworm)
Lineage: Eukaryota; Metazoa; Arthropoda; Insecta; Lepidoptera; Bombycidae
Description: ovarian small RNA-9844
Source: RNAcentral